Molecule: long non-coding RNA, 698 nt
Organism: Mastomys coucha (southern multimammate mouse)
Lineage: Eukaryota; Metazoa; Chordata; Mammalia; Rodentia; Muridae
Exons: 2
Source: RefSeq, a predicted model, not a curated record
AGGCCAGUCAGGGCUACUCAGACAGAGCCUGUCUCAAAAAGAAAAAAAAGGAAAAAAAAAGGAGGGUGUCUCAAGAAUAGAAGGAAAGUGGGAAUAGACCGUAACUAAGAGAAAGAAGAAAGAAAGGUAGAGGGGACACAGCCCAGGAGCUGGGAAUCAAAGCCCCCAGAGUAAACCACACAGGGGUGAAGGACCCCCACAUGCUCCUCUCCACAGAGCAUCAGCAGGAAGACUGGAGUUUGACUCAGGGUUGAUUUCUGAUAUUUGACUGACUCUGAAACUUUAGGUGUACCUGCCCACAGCCCGCGUCUCAGUCUUCUAUGCUUGGCAGUUUGCUGGUCUCCUAUUGUAGGAAACUGACACUCCAAAAGCAGAUCUCCCAGGUCCAAGGUCACACUCCUUCUGUGGGCCUGAUUUGUUCCUGGCCUCCAGCAAUGCCCUGCCCAGAGCCUGGCUGUAAGAAGCAAGAACCACCCCCGCCCCUGGCUUCUCUGCUUUGUCCUAAAUUACCCUGGGUUACCUGGUCCAAGAGACACUGACCCCCCAAGAUAGCAGCAUGCAUCUCCAGGAGCAUCUAUGGCUCUGAGCUCUUGUUUGGGCGCUGGGAAGGAGAAUGACCUGUGAGCCAUUAAUACCCCCCAACUGCCAACUUAACCUCUGGAUUUUGUUUGCAAAUAAAAGCUUGCCCACCUCCCCAA